GACGAACGCUGGCGGCGUGCUUAACACAUGCAAGUCGAACGAUGAAGGAGAGCUUGCUCUCCGGAUUAGUGGCGAACGGGUGAGUAACACGUGACUAACCUGCCCCUUUCUCUGGGAUAACGCUCCGAAAGGAGUGCUAAUACCGGAUACGAACUCUGAACACAUGUUCGGAGUUGGAAAGUUUUUCGGAAAGGGAUGGAGUCGCGGCCUAUCAGCUUGUUGGUGAGGUAACGGCACACCAAGGCGACGACGGGUAGCCGGCCUGAGAGGGCGACCGGACACACUGGGACUGAGACACGGCCCAGACUCCUACGGGAGGCAGCAGUGGGGAAUAUUGCACAAUGGGCGAAAGCCUGAUGCAGCGACGCCGCGUGAGGGAUGAAGGUCUUCGGAUUGUAAACCUCUUUCAGUAGGGACGAAGCGAAAGUGACGGUACCUAAAGAAGAAGCACCGGCUAACUACGUGCCAGCAGCCGCCGCCG
Molecule: ribosomal RNA, 481 nt
Filed under: uncultured bacterium
Lineage: Bacteria
Description: partial 16S ribosomal RNA
Rfam family: Bacterial small subunit ribosomal RNA
Source: RNAcentral